Molecule: ribosomal RNA, 400 nt
Filed under: uncultured bacterium
Lineage: Bacteria
Description: bacterial SSU rRNA
Rfam family: Bacterial small subunit ribosomal RNA
Source: RNAcentral
UGGGGAAUCUUGGACAAUGGGCGCAAGCCUGAUCCAGCAAUGCCGCGUGGGUGAAGAAGGCCUUCGGGUUGUAAAGCCCUUUUGUUUGGGAGCAAAGCUUACCUAAUAACACUAGGUGAGGAUGAGAGUACCAAAAGAAUCAGCACCGGCUAACUACGUGCCAGCAGCCGCGGUAAUACGUAGGGUGCGAGCGUUAAUCGGAAUUACUGGGCGUAAAGCGUGCGCAGGUGGUUUUGCAAGACCGACGUGAAAGCCCCGGGCUCAACCUGGGAACGGCGUUAGUGACUGCAAGACUAGAGUGUGGCAGAGGGGGGUGGAAUUCCACGUGUAGCAGUGAAAUGCGUAGAGAUGUGGAGGAACACCGAUGGCGAAGGCAGCCCCCUGGGCUAACACUGACACU